GGGAGGCCAGCAGGCCCACAAACCCAAGGGGAGUUCGCGGAUCAACAAUCAGCCCCUUCCUGGCGGCUCCACCCAGACCCCAGCGAGGCUGGAAGUGGGGGAUGGGAGCAGGCCCCAAAGUGUCCACACAAAGGAAGCAGCAGGGUCUGGGAUGAGAUGAAGACCCGCCCUCACCCCACCCCACCCUCGCGGCCUGGGAACUGGCAGGGCACCCUGGAUGGUGACCCAGAAACCUGGCUGUCGGCAGCUCCCGCCUGGCACUGCCCACAUCGAGCUCCCUGGCUUCCCACGGGAGUCCAUGGCAGCUGUCUGCAGGCCACACGCAGUAACGUGGAUGAAUCUCAGAUGGAACGUUGAGCAAAGGAAACUGACCCAGGAGAGUACGUAAGAGCUUCGGCUGACUCAGGAGCAAGAGGUAAACUGAUCAGCAAAUACGCUGGCUGCAGAGACCCGGUGAGACGUGAAUCCCCAGGGAAUGCUAAGGGAGCCCCCCCCCCACAACAUGUGCAUUUCCGAGCCGCCACUGGAAGAUCCAGGGGAAGAUCGUCAGGCUCCUCUCCUCCACUUAGCCCAAGGCAGGGGACGAACUAACACACGUCAGGAAGCGCCUCAACAGCCCGGGUGAGAACGAGCUUAACCUUCAGCCGUCAUGAAAAAUAAAGUUGACCAGAACUCCCCGUUUUCUGGACAUUCCUGUUGGGUUCAUUGAAGUUCACUGGGUUGUCCUGGUGGAAACUGUGUAACCUGAUUCUGACGCUAAGAAAAUGCUUCCCGUGGGGAAGACUGGUUCUGAUAUGACCAAUUCCCCUGGGACCCCUCAGGCCUUGUCCAACCUGGUUGAUGUCCCAGGCCUAAUAUGGCCCCCUCUCCCUGCCUGCUCCCCAUGACCCCUCAACCAGCCAUCCCAGACCCAAAUCCCAUCCAGGCUUGCUCAAGCCCGUCUCCCCCAGGACACCUCCCUGCCUACCCGGGGCUCCCAUCCUUUCCUCCUAUAGCACCUAUUAAGUCUGUCUAAGCGCCUGGCCCCCUAGUCUGUUUCAAGAGGACAGGCAACUUUGCUUUGUUCAGAUUGUACCGGAAAAACGUGGACCAGUUCUUGGUACAUAGUAGGCCCUCAAUAAACACUGG
Molecule: long non-coding RNA, 1128 nt
Filed under: Equus caballus (horse)
Lineage: Eukaryota; Metazoa; Chordata; Mammalia; Perissodactyla; Equidae
Description: lncRNA (ENSECAG00000057612.1)
Source: RNAcentral